Molecule: non-coding RNA, 45 nt
Filed under: Schistosoma mansoni
Lineage: Eukaryota; Metazoa; Platyhelminthes; Trematoda; Strigeidida; Schistosomatidae
Source: RNAcentral
ACCCAGUUGACGAGUUUGAAAUAGGACGAAACGUGUGUCCUAGAU